UUGUUUAUAUAUUUCUUCUUUUUUUCUUUUUCUUUUUUGUUUUGUUUGUUUCCCCCUCCUUCAGAUCGUAUUGUCUCACUUGCCUAUAGCUAAAAAGGCUCCUGCCUAGAGAUUCUUCGGGGAGAAAGUCCGGCUCUUGGGGAGGCCGGGAGCGACUCGGCAUCCCCCAUGUCUCCUCGGACUAGCAAGAGCCGCAUGUCCAUGAAGCUGCGGCGCUCUUCUGGAUCGGCCAAUAAGACUUAAGCUCUCUAGAUUUUCGCGGCCGAUCAAGCAAUCAGACACUUUUGGUCUACAUUUUGUGCUCAAAAGUAGGCGAAAACAGACUGUGGUGGAGAAAUCCACAUGGAUGUUUAUUUCCAACAGGAAAAAGACCGAUGGGUGUUGUUCUCAGGAAAGAGCGUCGCCAUCUGGGGUGUCAGUAGAAUUUGACGCUUCGUCACACAGUUGUACUCUCAAAAAACACAUGUAAAAGUAUUCUGUGGAGUAUUUAACACUAACUUUAUUUAGAAAUUGCUCACAGCUGCUGAAUAUAUCCUUGGCUUUGCUCUUAAAAAUACAAAAAAAACUGCUGAUCUUCAUCGUAGACGCAGCCGAACGAGUGCAGCACUAGUCCAUCAUGAUCCGUGCCAUGUUAGAAAUCGCAAAAAAAGCUCAAGUGUGCCACGUUAGAUGCUGUUCGUUUUGGAGAAGCGCGUCCAUCGAGGUCAAAACCGCAGAACAAAGAGAGGUUGAACGCCGCUAUGUGGAAUCUGUAUAUUUGUACGAUAGUCAGUCCGUGUGUGUGUGUGUGUGUGUACAGACAGAACUAUGAGUUUUGAUAUAAAAAAAUAAUGCAUUUCUGAACGAUUGCACCUUCAGUGUUGCAUGGAGAAAGCGAGAUAAAAGUAUAUUUUUGUUCUCAGUACAGCAUUAGGCCUACAAAGAUAAGGGCAGGGGUCUGUUUGCUAUUCAGUCCUCAUAGAAUGUAAAUAGAAACUCUUUCGUUUGCUAGCUAUAAAAUGCGGCAUCACUCUAAAGCCCAAAAUGUUCUCCAGAAGAACAAUCCCCCUCCUUCAACUCCCUUUGAGCAAAGAGAUGUGAGAACCAGUGUCGAAGGAAUGAUGGAGGGAUUGUUUGUCUUUCACAAUGCAGAGAAAAGCGCUUUGUUGAAAAAUGAUUGAUCAAAGAGGAAGCACUUGUUACAUAAAGUUAAGUGUCGACUUUCUUGUGCUCAUGCUGUAAAAUAUGGACAGAGCACUGAUGUUCAUUGCAUUUAUGUUCCUUGUGUUUUUUCUUUUUUUUGUUCCUUUUAUAUAUAUUCUGCAUAUCUAUAUAUGUAUGAGUAUGAAUAUAUAGGUAUAUAUAUAUAGUAGAUAUAUAAAUAUCUAUAAGGUUGUGUACAUACUGUUAUGUGUGAGAAUAGCUGCCAAAGUCCAACUGGUUUAUCCUCAGAACACAUUAUCUGCUUAAAACAAACACUACAAGAUGUAAUGCUUUCAGUUUACUCUUCAUCCUCUCUGAAUUUAAAGGUAAUUCUAAUUGUAUCUCAAGUACUCUUCUUCACUGCUGAUAUGCGUAACCUUGGUACCACUGUGUUUUAGGCCAUCAUAUUCCUGGUUUUUCAUUGUUUGACAUAUUGCUAAGUGAGGCCAGAGGGAGGAAGGAAGGAGGAAAAACAAAGUGUUUAAAGGAGAGAUACUGUAGAACCAUGGCCAACGAGGGGGGAGGGGGGAGGGGGGGCAGGCAGGCAAAGGAAACACCAUCACUUAGAAAUAAACGGUUUUAAUCCCGCUCUUAAAUUUCGACUCUUCCCCGGUUCCAGCUGUGGAUGGAGGGGAUCCGCAUGUCAUCACAAUCCAGAAACCGUGACGCUACGCUCAUGUGUUAACGUUUCAGAUCGGCUUCCAUCGUUCUUUUCCGGGUUUCUCUUCAUUAAUGGUCUCAGCUGUGGUUCCUUCAGGGUUUAUCACCAUUGAACCUUCAUCCGUUUAUUUGACAUGAGUUCCUUUUCCUCCUGUCUGAUCUAAAGGAAACACGCAUGUACUGUAUGAAAUGUUUGCAUUUGAAAAUAUAGAUCUGAGUUAAAGGUUUUGCAUUAUGCUUCACUGCUUAAUGUGUGUGUAUUCACAACUGUAUUUUCUGUUACUCUUUCAUUGUCUUUACUUCAGCCAUAGAUUCUCCAGAGAGGAAAGGGAUUGUCACACUUGUUUUAACCCCUCUGUGGGGUUGAAAUUGUUAAAUAUUUGCCAGUUUAAAAAUGAGGUCAAAUUGUGUUAUUUUGUCUGUGGAUAUUUAAAGUCAGCUGAGAUUUGAGUGUUCCCGUUAAAUUAUUGCUGUUACGGUUAUUAUUAUUAUUAUUAUUAUUGCCGAGGUUGAAGAAGCACCAUUGAUUGGUUGCGACACGUGGUCAACUAGCCCCACUGUACUCUGGGAAGGAUCUGUACAUGCUGUAUGCAGACCCGCGUCUCAAUAUCUUUUGGGUCUCAACAUUACUUUGGCUUUGGAUUAAAAUACUAGUGACUCUACUUGAGUCAUGAUGCUGCUUUCAUAGUACCCUGAAGAAAGAUUCAGAUAAAAAGGAUUUCAACUCCGUUGUUUCACUUAAAUAAAAAACCCUGAUUAGCAAAACCAAAAUGUAUAGAAAACCUAGGUUACCCAAAGCCUUUCAGCAUUCUAACGAAUCCACACCAGCCUGAGGACUGUCUGUCUAGGAAGAUUGUUCGGGUAGAAAAGUAUUAGUCCGCCUUAUUGACCCAAAUCUGACAUUUUGGUUGUCUGUAGUCUGUUGCCAUGUCGACCACACACAAACAUGUAUGUAACUUCUGCGCCUGCGUGGAUGGAUGCUCUGAGCGAGAGGGCCGUGAUGGGUACGGGGUUCAGCUGUUGUCAGUUGGGAGACUGAUGUAUGUAACUACUGACUGUACAUACUGCAUGACGCCGGUUCAGUACUAACCGCAUGUGUUGAUCAUGUAACAGCUGUAUCUUAACACACACACUUCCUGGAUGUUACUGUCACACCUGUAGUAUGUAGACCUGUAAUGGCUCUUUUGGACACCGAAGAGAGCGCAGAUGUGCGAUGGUGGAGUUUGACAAUAAACGAUUCGUACCACUUGACAGCCGGACCCGUGUGUGUGUGUGUGUGUGUGUGUGUGUGUGUGUGUGUGUGUGUGUGCGCACACCAACUUUGAAACCACAUGAAUGAGUACUGUCUUAACAUUUAUUGACAAUAAUUUAGAAUAAAUAUCACAUUCAACUUCAGAGAUAUCAAAAUAGUACUGGUUUCAUAGAACCACAAUGAUAUUUUAGCAUCAUGAAGGCAUUUAGCAAAUAUUUCAACAGUAAUGAAUAAUCAAUAAAGACAAAAGACUUUUUUUUAAUUAGCACUACACACAUUAAAUGUUCCAUUUCUGUAUGAAAAUAUUUUGUAGCUCUUGAAACUUACUGGCACAUUUACUAUAAAAGGCAUAUUAUGGUCUAUCUGAUUAUUUUCUUUUUAUGUUUUAUUUGUUUUUGUUUUAUUGUUCACUGUACAUGAAAUAGAGUUAGGACAUUGGUUCUGUCUCCGGUUGGUGGGGUAAGGAAGGUCACUUUCUAAAUGUAAUUACAGGUCACUACAUUUUACAUCAGUACGUAAUGUAACACGCCCGCUCCACCUGAGCUUCGGUGUAAUGUGAUUACUUUGCCACAGAACCAUGUCGACCGUGAGUUUAAACAUGUAGAGAGGCGUGUGUCGAUCUUGGCUUCAGUACAUUCAGCGUACAAUGGCCCCCUCUUGCUCUAAUUAGUCAUAAUUAAAUUACCCUUUCUGUCAAACUUCAGUCUGGCCUGUUCUCUCAAGUGUUCACUAAUUGUAACAGUUUAGUUGCUGUGAUUAAAUGUCAAAUAAGUUUACAGACAGUUGGGCAUAAUAUGACAGGAUGCAAGAGAAGCCGAAAAAGAAAUGGCCUCCUGUGGCAAAACAGGAUAUAUAUAUAUAUAUAUUCUCUAAAUGAGAAAAGAAAUAUAGAAACAAUGUCUGACUUCUGAUUGUAUUACUGGCCGUACAAAUUCAAUAUUGACAAAUAAUGCGAUUUGCUCUCAAGAUUUCAACAGAAGAAAUAGCCAUUUAGAACAAGGGUCACUUUAAUUUGCAUCCAGUUUAAUGUUUAAUUGUUAUAAUAAUCCUGUUAUUUUAUUAAAUCAUCUUAGAUCACCUGUCCAGCGAAUUAAAAUGUACUUUUUAUUUUUCUUCCAAAAAAAAAAAAAAAGCUGUAAAGACUGAGCAACCUGUGGAAGAUAACGGAGGUGCGUUUGUGGACAUGGUGUCAGUUUGUUUGUAAUAGUUUCCGUAGGUCAGUUAUUUAGUUUAGUUUCAGCACCAUGGACAGUUCCGCUUCUACUGACACUGUCAGCUAAUUGUCUAGUUUACAUUUGCUUUUGGGUUAUCAGUCUCAAGACCAUAAACAAUGUGUGCAUCGUUUUGGCGUCAGUAGAUCAUAACUAUCUUUGUGAAACAAUUGAGCAGUCAAGAGGCUCACUGAGCUUUAAACAAAACUCACCCGUAGUCCGUAUCCUGAAACAUACAGUGCGUUUUUGCUUUUUGACCACAACUGAACCCAACAGGCCUCCGUCACAAUCUACAAUACAACCAUAGCUGAAUUAAAUGUACUUCAUAGUUAGGUUCCUCAUAAUGAUGGUCAAUAACUGGUUAUUUUUCAUGUGUUUCUCUUGGCCCGUCUCGCGCUCGUUUUACGGUCGCACGGUCAUCUGCAGCAGCAUCACCUGCCGGUUCUCGGUGGGCUGGGAUUUGUUGAUGUGUCUCGCGAGCCCCGGGGAGCUGAAGAAAGUGGACGGACAGUGCUUGCACGUGAAGAUCUGCUGCUGCUCGCACUCCCCGCUGCCGCUCUCGCCUCCCUGCGCGUGGAACACGUCUGGUCUGAGUCCUCCUCCCAAAGUUCCCGCCAGUAACUCGUCCCUCAUCGCGUGCCACAGACGGUGCUUGUCCCUGAUUUCCGCCGACGGGAAGCGCGCGCCGCACAGGUGACACAAGAACACCUGGCUCUGUCCUCCGCCUGUCUCGCGCGCCUGCCCGUAAGAUGGCGGGUUGGGAGACGCUCGCGCUGUCGUCUCGUGCGCAGCCAGGUGUUUCUUUAGGUAAGGCUGUCGGCGGAAUUUCUUCCCACAGUACCGGCACUCGUACACGUCGUCCACCGGUAACGACUGGACAAACGGCAAAGGAGGAUGCGGAAGCGACGGCAGGUCCGCGCGCUCGUCCGGGUUGCCGUUUAACAGAAGCAGGCUCGAGGGUGGACUGUCUGCCGCCCUCACCUGCUCCUGAAGGUCCAGACAGCUUUCGGCCGGAUUCCGGUAAUGAAGCGAGGAAUCAUAGUGAGGGGGCGCGAGGCUGUCUCCGUCGGGGUUGUCCCGUGAGCGACCGUGGAACAGCAACAGGGAGGGCUCGCGCCUGACCCGGGAGCUGUCCAGCGCUCCGUGGUGCUGGUUAGCGUUUAUGCGCAGCAGCUCGUUCUCUUUGCCCUCCAUCUCUACCGGCUGCCUCUCGUGCUGAACGAGACCUCGUGCUUCUUUCAGCGGCUGGCUCUUGUUUGUCUGAGUCUCUCCACCUUGGCCGUUUACCGGACGAGGCUUGUGCCAGCGGCGGUGGGAUGCCAAGUUGGCGGGACAGCUGAAGACUUUGUCGCACUCGGGACAUCGGUACUCCACGCGCACUAUGCGGGAGCACUUGUGCUGCGCGAGGGAGAAAGGGUCGGAGUACUCCUCUUUACAAAGCUGGCAGAUGUACUCUCCGAGCGGCUGGUUCCCGGUGGGAGCGGACGACCUCUCCCGCUGUCUCCUCUGCUCGGGAAGCUCCUUCUUGAUCCGCAAACCCAACACCGGCGAGGUCAUGACCUCGUCUUCGAAGUUCAGCUUUCGGUUCACUUUGGGUUUCUUUGACGGGUUGCCCGCAGGCUGUUUGCUGUGUCUGUUGCCGUUCAAGCGUUGAUCCUGCUCGAGGAACGAGCGCUUCCUCGCCGCGUGAUGCUGCUCUGGGUUCACAAGUGUCAGUGGCGGGAACAAGUGUACAUGACCCAUGCUCGGGUCGUAUUUGUCAUUGUGACCGUAGGACGGUGCGUUGCGGCUGCCGCUCGCGAGGAGCCUCUCAAUGGAAGGGGACACUGAGGUCGGCGUGGAGCUCACCAGGAACGGCAGCUCCGGUAACCCCGGCACCGGGGAGGAUGUCAGGCACUUCCCGGGGAACAGCGGCUGCUUAUAUCCCUCGUGGUGGUGGUGAUGGUGGUGGUGGAGGUCCAGCAGUCUCGUGCCGACCGGUUUAACGGGGCUGCAGGACUCUGUUGAUGUCACGUCGCGUGGGGGUAGAGGAGGAGGUGGGAAGAAGCAGGAGAAGUCACUAUCGGGAGUCAGAACGUCCACCUCGCUCACCUGGCCCUCGGUCUCCGGUAAUUGUGCGCGCCGGUCCGCCUCCGCCUCCAGCGCGGACUCCACGUGCGGGCUCCACGCCUCCCUGACAGCGGCGGAGUCUCCGCGGGACACCGGGAGCAGUCCAUCCGGCCGUCCAAACGGGAACACAAUCAACACGUCGUUCCCCUCCACUGCCUCCGGUAUUGUCGCUUCACACUUACCGCUGCUAUUCUGGUCACCGUAAUAUGCUUCGGGUUUGUUAUUACUGUUAUUCCGUGACCGGUACGACGCCGGACAUCGCCGGUUUCUCUUCACCAAGAAUCCUCGAGGCAUGGUGGUGGUGGUGACGAUGAUGCUCGACACCGCCAGGCGGAAAGAACAACUCUUGUCUCGAGCCCACUUUCAAGUAGAGCUGUGAAGUGGCGAAGUUAGAGAGAGGGAGAGGAGGAGGAGAGAGAGGGGAGGGGGGCGCGCGCGCAGGUGUGUUGAUAGCGAGAGAGAGCAUUAUCCGUGGUGCGCGUGUACGUUUUUAUUCACCAGUCUCUCUCUCUCUGUCUGUCACACACACACACACACACACACACACACACACACACACUUUUCGUCCAGGGCCAGUAUCAGCAGGCUUUAUUAGUUGGCUAAUUAGCGUAAGCCUUUUUUUAUUUAUUAAAUAUCAAUAAAUCAGUAGUAACAUUUUGAGCAUGAAUGUUAGUGUGUAGCUACUUAUCAAGUGUUUUAAUUACAGAAGCCAUUAGAGAUGAAUACCCUAAAAUAAACAGUUGGUGGCUCAUUGGGUACAUCGUAAAAACUAUAGGUUAUAAUUUAUAUUGAAUGUACGUUUUCAUUUUUAUGGGACCAGCAUUGUUUUACUGUACCUAACUCUUCUUCUGUCAUAAUGUGGCUCACUUGAGAUAAAACGCUAUUUUAUAUAUUUAGUUUUUAUAAAUAUUGUUGGAGAACAGCUGUUUUUAACUCUCAUGUUGUCACAAUAAGGAAAUAAGUGGGUUCACAUCUAAUGUCCGAGGUAGUCAGGAAGUUUGCAUUAUGGUUAAAAUUUAUAAUUCAUUAUUAAUAUUACUCGCACUUAUAAUAUCACAAUCACUGAGUCGUUGUAAUCAGUGGAAUUUUGAGUUUUAUCAGUUAUUUUAGUUGCUGGGGUGUGAAAUAACAUAUUGCUGUUGAUGAGCUUCCGCCGCUGAUCUUUUCCUCUCAUUUUCUAGGAGCUGAUGUGCUUUCACCUGUCAGAAAACCUGGUCCGGUGUGUGUGUGUCGGAGUCGGUGUAACUAUAGAAACAGCCCCCGUGGGGAUACAGAUCAUACAUCUUUAAGAGUAAAAUAAUGACUGUUUCUGUCCCGCUAAAGUAUUUGUGUGUGUGUGUGUGUGUGUGUGUGUGUGUGUGUGUGUGUGUGUGUGGACUAUUCACACCCGUCCCACUAGAAGCUGCACUAGCUGAUAAGAGAUCGGAGGGAUAUUCAUCUAUCUAUCCAUCCGUCCUCCCCCCCGGGGCUUGGCCGGCCCCUCCGCGCAGGCCAGGCGGUCUCCAGCUCGGCCAGUGGGAUCAGGCCAGCCGGCGUCGCUCCCUGGAAAUCAAUCAAGGCGGAUGAGCGUGAGAACGAGCUCGAGGGUCGGGCUGCUGGCUUGACGAGGGCCGCCUGGGGAAUAGAAAUGAGAAUAGAGAAGGGGAUUGGUGGUGGAGGCUCCAACACUAAAAACUAAUUAAGCACCAGGCUUAUCUGGACUUUUAUUUGGGUGGUUUUUCACUGUAAUUGUCAGCUGCUAAUGUGUCCCACAGAGAAACCUUGACCCUGGUUCAGCCGGUAUUGACCCGACUGACUGAACGUGAGUGAUUGAGGCCUCUGUCAGAUUAUUUUCACCCCACUUUGUAUCGCAUGGAAGCCCGUUUAUAUCAGGACAAAAUAAAAAUAAAUAACAGCAAACGUUGUAAAUUAUUUACUUUAAAAAUAAAUACUGAUAGUCCAAACAAUAAUUAUUUUCUCUAUUAUCUAAUCAUUUUCACUUGUUCUCUAACCUAAAGUCAAAAUUGUGAUUUAUUUCACAUUACUGUAUUACAUUUGCUCAUAAUUAACUAACUAAAUUAUGACGGCAUCACACCAUAUUAGGGAUAUGUUCACUGUUAAGUUGAUGCACAUCAUGUAUAUUCACGGAUCAUUUCAAAUCAAAUGACCGUGUGAUGAUAACUAAGACAAAGGAGUGCACUGGGACUCAGAGCUCUGCCACGAGGAUAGUGGCAUAUUCUAGUGGGGGGGGGGACAGAGACAGAGCAGGCAGCUUUCAGUAGUUUAAAAACAGGAGAAAUGUUCUCAAGUCGAUGUCCUGUAAAAACAGUUAUGGAUCCACAGACAUGGGGGGGGAGGGUGUUGGCUGGAGGACAUGAAGUGUGUGUGUGUGUGUCUGUGUCUGUCUGUGUCUGUGUCUGUCUUUGUGUCUUUGUCUUUGUCUUUAGUUUGCAUCGCAUCAGUGGGCAGUGAGGUGGAUAAUCCUCCAGACUGCUGAAAAUGACUCUAUUGAUCUGUGCUUCUCAGUCACAAGCCUUUAAGUACUGCAGUAUUAUACAGCUCAGCUGUCUGUCUGGGAACUGUAUUUGUACAUUGCGUCUGUCUGCGUGUGUGUGUGUGUGCGCGCGCGCGUCUGAUAGAAAAAUAAGGAAACCUGUUAAAUGAAGGUAUUUCACUGGUUCUCGUCUAAUGAGAGGACUGUCAGUUUAGUUUUAGGACUUGAGUUAAUGGUUAAAUGUAGCUUUCACUUAGUGCCACGUGUAGAAUGUCCACCGGCUUGCUGAUCAGCUCUUAAGUGAUGAGGGCGGAAAA
Long non-coding RNA from Anarrhichthys ocellatus (wolf-eel), 9204 nucleotides. RefSeq lists it as uncharacterized. The record is from RefSeq and is a predicted model, not a curated record. NCBI's taxonomy places the organism in Eukaryota, Metazoa, Chordata, Actinopteri, Perciformes, Anarhichadidae. The transcript is spliced from 2 exons.